RNAcentral lists this long non-coding RNA (760 nucleotides) under Fukomys damarensis (Damara mole-rat). RNAcentral's name for it is "lncRNA (ENSFDAG00000026352.1)". Lineage: Eukaryota; Metazoa; Chordata; Mammalia; Rodentia; Bathyergidae. The record is from RNAcentral.
CGGCCCCCCAGCCAGGGGUCCUUACUAGGCUGGCGGCUCUCGGCCCCUUCGCCUUCCCUCGCAAACCUACCCCCACCUCCAACACUCCGAGCGGACUCAGCGCAAGGAAGGAAACCCGGAACGGGGGCGGCGGCCCGAGGCGCACGCACGCUACCAGCUUCCGGCAAUCCACGGGUUAAAACGAAGCGGCGGCGCGCGCGGAGGGGAGAGGCGGUUGCUGACAGGUGGCGCCUGCGCACUGGGAUCGCUCAUUGUGCCCCGCAGCUGCCUAGCCGCCCGCCCGCCGCCCGUUCGGCGAGUCAGUCGGCGGAGAGUCCAGUGGUGGGUGCGGAUCUUGAGAUCGUUCCUGCGGCCUCUUCUUCCUCCCCGUUCCCCUCACCCUACCCCACACCCUUUACCUUCUUCCCAGCUCCGUCACCCUCCCGCCCCCCACACUCGAGACGAGAAUGCCCUGCCCGGAACAACCUAGCAGCGCCUAGAUGGCUUUGGUCACGGUCCAGCGGUCGCCUACCCCCAGCACCACCUCCAGCCCCUGCGCCUCGGAGGCAGACAGUGGGGAAGAGGAAUGCCGGUCACAGCCCAGAAGGUAUAUCUUUUCAUUAUAUCCUAUAGUGCCUUUAUAUUUACUGGUUUUUCUUGAAAUCUUUUUCAGUCUUGUCAGAUUAGCUUAAUCCUGAUUUUCCAAGAUGCUUCAUUGUUCUUUCAAAAAUGAGACUGCUGGGGCUGGGGAUUUAACUCACUGGUGCUGCCUCCUGCCUUG